CUGUCCCAUCUCCACCACAGGUACAGUUGGCUUCCAUGUGAUGCUGAAGCCUGGCUAAUGGGAUCCCAACGAAACUAGAGACUGCAACAUGGAACUAUUAACUCAACUGGGUCUCCUUUUUAAUGGCUUUCUUAACACUAACUUGCAAGAUUACAGAUCAACACAUUUCAAAUGGAUAUAGACCUGGGGUUCUGGAGGGAGGGGGUUUGUUAAAACAACACACAUUCAAAGAAAGAAAUU
RNAcentral lists this long non-coding RNA (240 nucleotides) under Bos taurus (domestic cattle). RNAcentral describes it as "long non-coding RNA NONBTAT023684". Lineage: Eukaryota; Metazoa; Chordata; Mammalia; Artiodactyla; Bovidae. The record is from RNAcentral.